This is a non-coding RNA of Orientia tsutsugamushi, 113 nucleotides long. NCBI's taxonomy places the organism in Bacteria, Pseudomonadati, Pseudomonadota, Alphaproteobacteria, Rickettsiales, Rickettsiaceae. The record is from Rfam.
AAAGUCCAGUUAUGGAAGGAGAAGCUAGAUCCACCAUAUAGCGAGUCUUGUGCUGCUGAAGGUAACGACAGUAGUAAAGCGUAGACAGUGAAACAUUCGAGCCGAAACCAAAU